AUUUGAACGCAGAUAAGGAGUAUUAGGAAGAACUGAACUAUUUUCAGAGAGUAUACGGUUGCUGUGAGUAUACAAGUUGGUUUUUCUGAACUCGCCUUUGAGUUUUUCACCGAAGUUAGUAAGUGAAAACGGUCCUUCCCGUUACGAAGUUAAGUGUCAACUUAGUGUUGGAAUAUGGGUGGUACCGCGGUUUUUCGUCCUAUAU
This 205-nucleotide non-coding RNA is filed under the name Ligilactobacillus animalis. RNAcentral's name for it is "Lactobacillus animalis T-box sequence". It matches the Rfam family "T-box leader". Rfam says of the family: Uncharged tRNA acts as the effector for transcription antitermination of genes in the T-box leader family. T-boxes are found upstream of many aminoacyl-tRNA synthetase genes and some amino acid biosynthetic genes usually in Gram-positive bacteria. The record is from RNAcentral. Lineage: Bacteria; Bacillati; Bacillota; Bacilli; Lactobacillales; Lactobacillaceae.